GACGAACGCUGGCGGCGUGCUUAACACAUGCAAGUCGAACGGAAAGGCCCUGCUUUUGUGGGGUGCUCGAGUGGCGAACGGGUGAGUAACACGUGAGUAACCUGCCCUUGACUUUGGGAUAACUUCAGGAAACUGGGGCUAAUACCGGAUAGGAGCUCCUGCUGCAUGGUGGGGGUUGGAAAGUUUCGGCGGUUGGGGAUGGACUCGCGGCUUAUCAGCUUGUUGGUGGGGUAGUGGCUUACCAAGGCUUUGACGGGUAGCCGGCCUGAGAGGGUGACCGGCCACAUUGGGACUGAGAUACGGCCCAGACUCCUACGGGAGGCAGCAGUGGGGAAUAUUGCACAAUGGGCGGAAGCCUGAUGCAGCAACGCCGCGUGCGGGAUGACGGCCUUCGGGUUGUAAACCGCUUUCGCCUGUGACGAAGCGUGAGUGACGGUAAUGGGUAAAGAAGCACCGGCUAACCACGUG
Molecule: ribosomal RNA, 468 nt
Filed under: uncultured bacterium
Lineage: Bacteria
Description: partial 16S ribosomal RNA
Rfam family: Bacterial small subunit ribosomal RNA
Source: RNAcentral